GCCGGAGUGGCGGAAUUGGCAGACGCAAGGGACUUAAAAUCCCUCGGUCUCUCGGGACCGUACCGGUUCAAGUCCGGUCUCCGGCACCA
This 89-nucleotide transfer RNA is filed under the name Syntrophomonadaceae bacterium. RNAcentral describes it as "tRNA-Leu". It matches the Rfam family "tRNA". Rfam says of the family: Transfer RNA (tRNA) molecules are approximately 80 nucleotides in length. Lineage: Bacteria; Bacillati; Bacillota; Clostridia; Eubacteriales; Syntrophomonadaceae. The record is from RNAcentral.